RNAcentral lists this long non-coding RNA (238 nucleotides) under Panax ginseng (ginseng). Its description in RNAcentral is "long non-coding RNA (PGIN_LNC011817)". The record is from RNAcentral. Lineage: Eukaryota; Viridiplantae; Streptophyta; Magnoliopsida; Apiales; Araliaceae.
GUAAUCAGAGCCGAUGAUUUCGAUUUCCCACUCCCUUGCUGCUGUUGUUCUUCCUUGUACCCGUUCAUUGACCGAACCAGUUCCUUAAACCCUAGAUCGUCGAAUUCAAAAUUCUGAACAGUGAAAUUGGAAAAACUAAAUGCCGAUUUGAUGAUAGUCGUUGAUUUGAGAGAGAGUUGGGGAAGUCGUGGAUUUGAGAGAGAGUUGGGGAAGUCGUGGAUUUGAUAGAGAGAGUCGG